UACUCCUACGGGAGGCAGCAGUGGGUAAUAUUGGACAAUGGGCGCAAGCCUGAUCCAGCCAUGCCGCGUGUGUGAAGAAGGCCUCCGGGUUGUAAAGCACUUUUGUUGGGGAAGAAACCGACCGGAUUAAUACUUCGGUGAAGACGUACCC
Molecule: ribosomal RNA, 151 nt
Filed under: uncultured Dokdonella sp.
Lineage: Bacteria; Pseudomonadati; Pseudomonadota; Gammaproteobacteria; Lysobacterales; Rhodanobacteraceae
Description: partial 16S ribosomal RNA
Rfam family: Bacterial small subunit ribosomal RNA
Source: RNAcentral